This 433-nucleotide ribosomal RNA is filed under the name uncultured bacterium. RNAcentral describes it as "partial 16S ribosomal RNA". It matches the Rfam family "Bacterial small subunit ribosomal RNA", at positions 29 to 507 of the family's 1533-position model. The record is from RNAcentral.
AACGAACGCUGGCGGCAUGCCUAACACAUGCAAGUCGAACGAGACCUUCGGGUCUAGUGGCGCACGGGUGCGUAACGCGUGGGAACCUGCCCGUAGGUUCGGAAUAACUCCCUGAAAGGGGUGCUAAUACCGGAUAAUGUCUUCGGACCAACGAUUUAUCGCCUUUGGAUGGGCCCGGGUUGGAUUAGCUGGUUGGUAGGGUAAAAGCCGACCAAGGCGACGAUCCAUAGCUGGUCGGAGAGGAUGCUCCGCCACACUGGGACUGAGACACGGCCCAGACUCCUACGGGAGGCAGCAGUGGGGAGUAUUGGACACUGGGCGAAAGCCUGAUCCAGCCAUGCCGCGUGAGUGAUGAAGGCCUUAGGAUUGUAAAGCUCUUUUAGCCGGGAUGAUAAUGACGGUACCGGGAGAAUAAGCUCCGGCUAACUCCGUG